RNAcentral lists this transfer RNA (68 nucleotides) under Planocera reticulata. Its description in RNAcentral is "tRNA-tyrosine". The record is from RNAcentral. Lineage: Eukaryota; Metazoa; Platyhelminthes; Polycladida; Planoceridae.
AACGAGAUAAUCUAAAUUUAAGGUGUUGGAUUGUAGCUCCAAACAUGAAAUAAUAUUUUCUCUCGUGA